GCCCCCGUAGCUCAGUUGGAUAGAGCGGCACCGUCCUAAGGUGCGCGUCGGCGGUUCGAGUCCGUCCGGGGGCG
RNAcentral lists this transfer RNA (74 nucleotides) under Chloroflexota bacterium. Its description in RNAcentral is "tRNA-Arg". It matches the Rfam family "tRNA". Rfam says of the family: Transfer RNA (tRNA) molecules are approximately 80 nucleotides in length. Their secondary structure includes four short double-helical elements and three loops (D, anti-codon, and T loops). Lineage: Bacteria; Bacillati; Chloroflexota. The record is from RNAcentral.